GGGGUUGUGGCUCAACAGCAGAGCACUCGCCUAGCAUGUGGGAGGCCCUGGGUUCGAUCCUCAGCACCA
Molecule: transfer RNA, 69 nt
Filed under: Ictidomys tridecemlineatus (thirteen-lined ground squirrel)
Lineage: Eukaryota; Metazoa; Chordata; Mammalia; Rodentia; Sciuridae
Description: Spermophilus tridecemlineatus (thirteen-lined ground squirrel) tRNA
Rfam family: tRNA
About the family: Transfer RNA (tRNA) molecules are approximately 80 nucleotides in length. Their secondary structure includes four short double-helical elements and three loops (D, anti-codon, and T loops).
Source: Rfam by way of RNAcentral